AACCCACGAACAAGAAACUACAGACAUAAAUAAAGAAUGCUCCCGUAAUAUUACCGACGCACUCCCAUCCCCUAACCCUCUACCCUAAUCCGCAUCCUUCAAUCCUUCCUAUUAAGGGUCAUGUCCACCGUAAGUUGUAACUGCUCCAUAUCAUGCCUAAUCAUUUCCCUUCAAUAUUUCUUCGGCCUACCUCUACCCCGCUUAAAAUCAUCCAUAACGAGUGUCUCACACCUCCGCACUGGAGCACCGAAAUCCUUCUUCAUCACGUGCCCAAACCAACAUAACCUCACUUUUCGCAUCUUGUCCUCCAUCGAAGUAGCUCUCACCUUUUGAAAGGAUAGAGUGUACGCAAACCACACUACUAACUCAGGCGAAAUAGAGAAGCUGUUUCUGAUAGACCCCUUACUAUAUGGAAAUAAAAAAUAUAAAUGCAUAUAAACUUGUACAUGCAAAAUAAACUAAUAACGCUAACCACAAGAUACUACUAAAAACUAUAUAUCUGAAAGCAUAGACAACACUCAACCCACGAACAAGAAACUACAGACAUAAAUAAAGAAUACUCCCGUAAUAUUACUGACGCACUCCCACCCCCUAACCCUCUACCCUAAUCCGCAUCCUUCAAUCCUUCCUAUUAAGGGUCAUGUCCACCGUAAAUUGUAACUGCUCCAUAUCAUGCCUAAUCAUUUUCUUUCAAUAUUUCUUCGGCCUACCUCUACCCCGCUUAAAAUCAUCCAUAACCAGUGUCUCACACCUCCGCACUGGAGCACCGAAAUCCUUCUUCAUCACGUGCCCGAACCAACAUAACUUCACUUUUCGCAUCUUGUCCUCCAUCGAAGUAGCUCUCACCUUUUGCAAAUAAUCUGAUUCCUCACCCUAUCUUUCAUGGUAUGACCACACAGUAACUUUAAUUUAAC
RNAcentral lists this long non-coding RNA (914 nucleotides) under Capsicum annuum. RNAcentral's name for it is "long non-coding RNA (CANN_LNC020583)". The record is from RNAcentral. Lineage: Eukaryota; Viridiplantae; Streptophyta; Magnoliopsida; Solanales; Solanaceae.